CCUACGGGGGGCUGCAGUGGGGAAUAUUGGACAAUGGGGGGAACCCUGAUCCAGCCAUGCCGCGUGUGUGAAGAAGGCCCUCGGGUUGUAAAGCACUUUCAGUGAGGAAGAACGCCUGGUGGUUAAUACCCAUCAGGAAAGACAUCACUCACAGAAGAAGCACCGGCUAACUCCGUGCCAGCAGCCGCGGUAAUACGGAUGGUGCGAGCGUUACUCGGAAUUACUGGGCGUAAAGCGCGCGUAGGUGGCUUGAUAAGCCGGUUGUGAAAGCCCCGGGCUCAACCUGGGAACGGCAUCCGGAACUGUCAAGCUAGAGUGCAGGAGAGGAAGGUAGAAUUCCCGGUGUAGCGGUGAAAUGCGUAGAGAUCGGGAGGAAUACCAGUGGCGAAGGCGGCCUUCUGGACUGACACUGACACUGAGGUGCGAAAGCGUGGGUAGCAAACAGGAUUAGAUACCCCUGUAGUC
RNAcentral lists this ribosomal RNA (465 nucleotides) under Vreelandella stevensii. Its description in RNAcentral is "partial 16S ribosomal RNA". It matches the Rfam family "Bacterial small subunit ribosomal RNA", at positions 338 to 795 of the family's 1533-position model. The record is from RNAcentral. Lineage: Bacteria; Pseudomonadati; Pseudomonadota; Gammaproteobacteria; Oceanospirillales; Halomonadaceae.